This is a non-coding RNA of Paramuricea clavata, 1223 nucleotides long. The record is from the annotation of a GenBank genome assembly. NCBI's taxonomy places the organism in Eukaryota, Metazoa, Cnidaria, Anthozoa, Malacalcyonacea, Plexauridae.
GACUUACUAAAUAAUUCUCGAUGUAAACAAUUGAACAUUGCGUUACAUGUCUGUAUUGUAAAAUUUGGAUAUAGGAGUAACAUGCACAUUCUAUGCAUAAUGCAUACCAUAUGGACGCCUAAGGGCGCACCCAAUAGUUUCAGAAGUCAAGCCACAGAAAUACAGUCUCCACAAUUUAGAAGCAUAUUUAAUGACGUAUUACCGCUAUUUAUCUUUCAAAGACUCAGUAGUUUGUUUAUGAUGGAAUCUUUGUUAGGACAAAUGGACAUAAUUAGUUUGCCGUCCGCAAAAAAAAUUGAAAAAAUUGGGAGACAAUUUUAUGGAAAGUGAUAAUUAUAUAAAAUUUUUGUGAUACUUCUUUUAUGAUAUUAGACAUGAUCUAGAUCAGACUGCAGGGGAAGUAAUGAGUUAGUUCUCUUUAGUUUGGAUGAGGAAGUUUGUUUGGAAGAGAAAAAUGAGUUAGUUUUUAGUUUGGAAGGUGAAGUUAGUUUUGAAGGUGUAGUGUUGUAGACACACUCCUCUCAUGAUUGACAUAUGAAACAGUAGGAGACAAUGAGAUUGUUUUUGCAUGCAAUGUAGAUGGUGGGAAAUAGCAAGAAAUAUACUUACGUUUAAUUAAAUUCAACCGACAACGGCGAUGAGAAUAAAAUUAUAAAACAACAUUGCGGAAUGUCAAAAUUACUUUAAGAAGCUUAUUUAUAGAGAAAAUAAAGAUAAAAUAAAGAUAAAAAUGUUAAAAAAAAGAAUCCGGACUUGAUUUUGUUGAUAUUGGACAAGUUCAAGUUGCGUUUAAAAGAAAGGAGGGAUAUAGUGUUGUAGACACACCCCUCUCAUGAUUGACAUAAUUAUUAUGAAACAGGGGAAGUUAGCAGGGGAAGUUAGUUUUCUUUAGUUUCAUCACUGAUGCUUAAAAGGACUCAACAAGUGUUUCAAUCUAUGAUUUAACCAUUAAGCUCUAACCCAAGCUUACUAUUGAUGAGUAUACAUUUGAGCGGCAUUGGAAUAACUUACUAUAUGACAUUGGACCAGACAAACCAAUUUAGUAGAGGGGAUUGCUGCUUAAUGGAUAAAGUAAAAUUAACCGCUUUUAUAAAACAAUUCACAUAAUUAUCUUCCAAAGUUUUAAUUAUGGACAGGCAGACAAUUUACACUAGUUUACUUCAUAUUUUCAACAUUCCUAAUUAAAACUACAGCAUUAUGACAUAUUAUGACAUCAAUACGAG